AGUGAACGCUGGCGGUAGGCCUAACACAUGCAAGUCGAACGGCAGCACAGUAAGAGCUUGCUCUUACGGGGGGCGGGUGGCGGACGGGUGAGGAAUACAUCGGAAUCUACUUUUUCGUGGGGGUUAACGUAGGGAAACUUACGCUAAUACCGCAUACGACCUACGGGUGAAAGCAUGGGAUCUUCGGAGCUUGCGCGAUUGAAUGCGCGGAUGUCGGAUUAGAUAGUUGGCGGGGUAAAGGCCCACCAAGGCGAGGAUCCGUAGCUGGACUGAGAGGAGGAUCAGCCACACGGGAAGGGAGACAGGGUCCUGAGGCCUACGGGACGCACCAGUCGGGAACAUUGGACAACGGGCGGAAGCCUGAUCCAGCGAUCCCGCGUGUGUGAAGGAGGCCUUCGGUGCGUAAAGCCCUUUUGUGGGGAAAGAACAGCAGUAGCUUGAUACGCCGCGGGUCUGACGGUACUCAAAGAAUAAGCACCGGCUAACUUCGUG
RNAcentral lists this ribosomal RNA (492 nucleotides) under uncultured bacterium. Its description in RNAcentral is "partial 16S ribosomal RNA". It matches the Rfam family "Bacterial small subunit ribosomal RNA", at positions 29 to 507 of the family's 1533-position model. The record is from RNAcentral.